RNAcentral lists this ribosomal RNA (544 nucleotides) under uncultured bacterium. RNAcentral describes it as "bacterial SSU rRNA". It matches the Rfam family "Bacterial small subunit ribosomal RNA", at positions 358 to 916 of the family's 1533-position model. The record is from RNAcentral.
GGAAUCUUGUGCAAUGGACGAAAGUCUGACACAGCCACGCCGCGUGCGGGAAGAAGGCCUUCGGGUUGUAAACCGCUUUCAGCAGGAACGAAAAUGACGGUACCUGCAGAAGAAGGAGCGGCCAACUACGUGCCAGCAGCCGCGGUGACACGUAGGCUCCAAGCGUUGUCCGGAUUUAUUGGGCGUAAGGAGCUCGUAGGCGGUUCAGCAANUCGGGUGUGAAAACUCUGGGCUCAACCCAGAGAGGCCAUCCGAUACUGCUGUGACUUGAGUUCAGGAGGGGAGCGGGGAAUUCCUAGUGUAGCGGUGAAAUGCGCAGAUAUUAGGAGGAACACCGGUGGCGAAGGCGCCGCUCUGGACUGAAACUGACGCUGAGGAGCGAAAGCAUGGGUAGCAAACAGGAUUAGAUACCCUGGUAGUCCAUGCCGUAAACGGUGGGCACUAGGUGUGGGUUCCAACUAACGGGAUCCGCGCCGUCGCUAACGCAUUAAGUGCCCCGCCUGGGGAGUACGGUCGCAAGACUAAAACUCAAAGGAAUUGACGG